CUUUUAAGCAAGCGGAUGUUGAAGAGAAUGUGCUUGGAAAUGACAUCUGAGGAAAUCAGCAUAGUCUGCAAACUGCCUGUGGCCCCAUCAUUCACAUACGCAGGUCUUUUGAGACGAACUUGUUUGACUGAUAUUCCUCAACAAGGUAGUAAUACAUGGUGAAUCAUACCCACAACCUGCAUAUAACCCAUCAUCAAUCCAACACACUUUGGAAACAUACAGCCAUUUGCUAGAUGUAACAUUAGAACAGAAUUUAAAGCCCAUUCAACACUUUGCACAGAUGACAGCCAAAGCUAUUAUAGACUCAGCCGUCAGGAUCAGAAACCCAAGAGAAUCCGUCAACGUGAGAGGGGACGAUGUUGAGAUGCUAGCUGAAGAGUUAACUUUACAAGUCUUUUGCAAAGCAUUGGAAGAGAUGUAGAGGCAUCAUCACUCUGAUGAUCCAUCAUCCAGAAGUACGGGGUUGUGGAGGGGACUUAUGGAAAUGCAUUGGUUCUGUGCUCUUCGGGGUACAACUGUGAUAAAAACACAUCUGAAAUGGAAACAGACAACAAGAUGGAAGAAUAUGAUGACACAUCUACCACAGUAUAUGCUACUUCCUUGAAGAGCAUGGCUAGUCUGGGCUCUAUUGAGUACCCUGAUGCUCCUCCAAGCACCCCUUUACUUCCGGAGAUGAUAAAGAGUCGAGACAGUUUCACAAGGAAACUAAAGGGAGGAUUGGCUAAAGAAUUCCUUCCUUCACCCCCCUCCACCGACCCCCAAAGACCACAUGCAACCACUAAUGGAGAACCGACUAGUGCGCUCACUUUCACUGGAGUGCUGUCGAAACGGAGGCUUAGAAGAAAGCGAGGAUGGAGAAGUUGAUGAUGGUGGACUCCAAAAUUAUGUUCCCAGGCUGACUGACUUUGCAGCUCAAAUUUCUGCAGAUAUCCUUCAUUUUAUCACCACAAACAAGAUCAAAGUAAAGGAUGAGGGUUGUGUGAAAAGCAUGUGGGUUAUUGCUGACCAACUAGCGAGUGAAAUUGUCACAACGUCUCUAGCAGAGGUGAUGGCGAGAGGAGAAAGGAAGAUCUUGGAGGAAGAAACAACAUCAUACUCAACGUAUAAGCUAGGACAGGAUGUGUUUAAACAUGGAACCCAGCCACAUCUUUCGGGCCAAGCUGUAGAACCACAGCCAUGGGAAGAAGGAAGAUAUUCAAACACACUGUAAAGACUCAGUCAACUCCCACAAAGCCAAAACCUUCAGAUGUCGCAGCGAUAAAUCAGAACUGAACCCCAUUACAGAUGACGCCAUAAAAGUGAAGUCAUCGGUACACACAUUUGCCAACAACUUUGCAGAAGACGUGCUUCAGAAUUUAGUGUGUACUGCUUCCAGCUUACUGUUUACCCUAACUAUAAGCAACCCUAACUAUAAGCAAUCUCAGGGAGCAGAAUUUGGCCCAGAGAAAGACAUUACACCAUGGGUAAUCAAGAUGCGUGCUGGGGAUAGUCUUGUCCAGGAACUGCAAUGUGCUCUACUCUGGGCCGCAGCCUCUCAGAAAAGGACUAAAGCACUUCAGUUUGAUCUACCAGACAAAAGCCUUCAGCAAAAGGUACAAAAUAUUACAGUUUUCACAGACUGAAUUUUAUAUAGUCUCUAUAACAGAGGAAAAUGUGGCUGGUUGUAACACUGUUUGCUUUAAUGUCUGAAGGACGUUCACACCAAGGACAAUACCUACAGUAAAACAAUAACUAUAAAGUUUUAAUAAUCAUUCAGAUUCUAUGAGAAUAGGAAAGUCCACACCACAGCUAUAAUGAUAAGACAGAAGAUUAAUAUCAGAAUCACUUUCAGAAUGAUUUUUGCAGCUCACGAGCGAUGAAAACAAUAACAGCCAAUCAGAAUCCACCCGGCUUUAAUAAGCUCGAGCAUUUAAAGCAGCAGAUGACAUAGCUGCAGCACAUGCUUAUAAUAAACAUAAGUUCGUUAGCGUCCAGUGGUCCAUUGUAUAUAUAGUAAACAUUCUUGGUAAGAACAGGCCUUUAGCUAUGGUGUGGAAUUCUCUAUUCUCAUAGAAUUUGAAGGAUUAUUGAAACGGUUAUCGUUAUUGUUAUCGUUCUUGGUGUGAAUGGUCUUUAACGCUGUAUUUUUGAGUUGUAACAAUAGGUGGGGGGUAGGUUGCCAAGGACAUUGACAUCAGGUUAAAUUUUGUGCUGAUUUUGUUUUAU
RNAcentral lists this long non-coding RNA (2205 nucleotides) under Sinocyclocheilus anshuiensis. RNAcentral's name for it is "lncRNA (ENSSANG00000034005.1)". Lineage: Eukaryota; Metazoa; Chordata; Actinopteri; Cypriniformes; Cyprinidae. The record is from RNAcentral.